Molecule: ribosomal RNA, 274 nt
Filed under: uncultured bacterium
Lineage: Bacteria
Description: partial 16S ribosomal RNA
Rfam family: Bacterial small subunit ribosomal RNA
Source: RNAcentral
AUACGGAGGGUGCGAGCGUUAAUCGGAAUUACUGGGCGUAAAGGGUGCGUAGGCGGCUUGAUAAGUCGGAUGUGAAAGCCCCGGGCUUAACCUGGGAAUUGCAUUCGAUACUGUCAGGCUAGAGUAUGUCAGAGGUUGGCGGAAUUCCUGGUGUAGCGGUGAAAUGCGUAGAUAUCAGGAGGAACACCAGUGGCGAAGGCGGCUAACUGGGGCAAUCCUGACGCUGAGGCACGAAAGCGUGGGGAGCAAACAGGAUUAGAAACCCCAGUAGUCC